GCGUUUGCCGCUGUGAGAAGGUGGUUGGUUAGGGGUUUUGUGUUCUUGGGAAGUGAUGGAGGGAGGAGGAGGAAGAGUACAAUUUCUGGGGAUUGGGGCAGUUGUACGUUGGUGAUGGUGUGAAUCAUCUUAAUGAUUUUGGACCAGUAAGUGCAGAUGACUGGACACGUCCACCAUAUGUGGCUUGGGGUUCCCUGAGGGUGUUGGCAUCUCCAGCACUGCGCGGAGGCAUUCGGGAAGAUUGCAUGUAUUUUGGAAGGAGUAAGG
Molecule: non-coding RNA, 267 nt
Organism: Pelobates cultripes (western spadefoot toad)
Lineage: Eukaryota; Metazoa; Chordata; Amphibia; Anura; Pelobatidae
Source: the annotation of a GenBank genome assembly